Molecule: ribosomal RNA, 362 nt
Filed under: uncultured bacterium
Lineage: Bacteria
Description: bacterial SSU rRNA
Rfam family: Bacterial small subunit ribosomal RNA
Source: RNAcentral
UGGGCGUAAGAGCGCGUAGGCGGCCUGGUAAGUCAGAUGUGAAAGCCCGGGGCUCAACCCUGGAAGUGCAUUUGAUACUGCUUGGCUUGAGUAUGGGAGAGGGAAGUGGAAUUCCUGGUGUAGAGGUGAAAUGCGUAGAUAUCAGGAGGAACACCGGUGGCGAAGGCGGCUUCCUGGACCAAUACUGACGCUGAGGCGCGAAAGCGUGGGGAGCAAACGGGAUUAGAUACCCUGGUAGUCCACGCCGUAAACGAUGUUCACUAGGUGUGGGGGGUAUUGACCCCUGCUGUGCCGAAGCUAACGCAUUAAGUGCCCCGCCGGGGAAGUACGGCCGCAAGGUUAAAACUCAAAGGAAUUGACGG